GUGGCUGUGUCAAAUACAAGAAUCGCAGAAACUAGCUUUCUCCAUUACCUGCUUUUUGUGGCUGCAGGAAACCCAGUCAUGGAAAGUCUUCCUUUCCCUCAAGUUCUGACAAAUGCUGAGAUUAUUAAGGCAGCUCUCAGGGCACAAACAGUACAUUUAGAAAAAGACAGGACUAGAAAACAGUGAAGUACACUUUUUGUUUAAUUCCAUGCAUUUGUUUGCUUUGAUAGUCAUUCUUGUUCCCAUUGCCGUUCAAUACAGAGAGGGAGCCGGCAUCAGAAAACAACACUGGGAGCUGGGGACUGACAGUACAGGAGACCAGAGGGGAGCCAGGAAGUGGUCAGCAGGCAGAAAGGAAAUGAGCUACAAGGAAAUGGCACUUGAGUAUGAAAGAUCAACACGUUGGGUCAAGGUAGCACAUUUGCCAAGAGGAAGCACAUGCCCUUGAAGACAUUGGGUGCAAGUAUCUGGUCACCAGACUUUUCUAGGUCAUUUCCGUAAGCCACCUGGACAAGCUGGUUGAAGUGAAUAUGGUCUGUUCACAAGUUGCCUGGAAUUGCUUUUCUUUUGCUGUUCUUUGUGUUCUAAAAUGUUCAAUGUCUUGCUCUGGCUCUUCUUUAGUCACUUAUGGCCAAAAGACCUGGUCCCCUGUUCAAGCAGCAAUAAUACCUCCCGGCCCCACAAAUUCCCAAGGAUGUUGCUCUUAAAUUCCACUUAUUUCUUUUUUUCUGUUCUU
This 736-nucleotide long non-coding RNA is filed under the name Homo sapiens (human). RNAcentral's name for it is "non-protein coding lnc-LIPH-2:2". Lineage: Eukaryota; Metazoa; Chordata; Mammalia; Primates; Hominidae. The record is from RNAcentral.